GUGAAGAAGGCCUUCGGGUUGUAAAGCUCUGUUGCUCGGGGAGAGCGGCAUGGGGGGUGGAAAGCCCCAUGCGAGACGGUACCGAGUGAGGAAGCCCCGGCUAACUACGUGCCAGCAGCCGCGGUAAAACGUAGGGGGCGAGCGUUGUCCGGAAUCACUGGGCGUAAAGGGUGCGUAGGCGGUCGAGCAAGUCUGGAGUGAAAGUCCAUGGCUCAACCAUGGGAUGGCUCUGGAAACUGCUUGACUUGAGUGCUGGAGAGGCAAGGGGAAUUCCACGUGUAGCGGUGAAAU
RNAcentral lists this ribosomal RNA (291 nucleotides) under Heterosigma akashiwo. Its description in RNAcentral is "partial Bacterial small subunit ribosomal RNA". It matches the Rfam family "Bacterial small subunit ribosomal RNA", at positions 405 to 687 of the family's 1533-position model. The record is from RNAcentral. Lineage: Eukaryota; Raphidophyceae; Chattonellales; Chattonellaceae.